RNA transcript from Pipra filicauda (Wire-tailed manakin), 3914 nucleotides. It is a transcript of the gene named TAFA chemokine like family member 2, with no coding region annotated. The record is from RefSeq and is a predicted model, not a curated record. The transcript is spliced from 6 exons. Lineage: Eukaryota; Metazoa; Chordata; Aves; Passeriformes; Pipridae.
CGGUGGCGGGGCCGCCGGGGAAGCUCGGGCAUCUCCCCCUCCCCGGCCACGUGCGCCUGUGCAGAAACUCCGCACCCCCAGCCCGCCGCUUGGAGAGGACAGGAGGGACGGGAGAGCGGCGCCUCGGGGCGAAUGGGGGAGGCGGCUCAGCUCCGGUGUGCGCGGGCCGCGGGGGCGGUCGCUGCCGACGGAGCUCCGCUCCUCGGUUACGCAGAGCGGUGGCCACGGGGACCUGGUGCCUCGUAAAGGGCUAGGGAGGAAAGCACCGAGUGGCUUAUAAAUACGGGGGAGGAGAGGGGCGUCUCCCUCGCUCCCCACCCCUUCCAUCUCCCCCGCCGCGCACGGCGCGCUUGGAGCUCCUUCUGCUUGUCCGGGCGCCCGGAGCGGCUCCGCGCCCUAGUGCGGUGUGGUGCGGUGAGCGCAGACCGGGCGCGGGAGGCUGCUGCUGAAGGUGAAUCUCUCGCUCUCCAAUUACUUUUCCCAAGAGGGAGAAGGAGGCAGCAGGAGGGGGAAGUCGUGCUGUGUGUGGACCGCAACACCAAUCAGAGAUGCUCUAACGGAGGGUCUGCUGCAGGACGCGCUUCUCCUCCUUCCUCUGCCGGCGGGGCUGAAUCGGGACCGCGCGCAGCUGGCGGAGGGGCCGGAGGCACACUGGGCUGCAGGACUUCCUCAUCCUCCGCUUUUUCAAUAGCUCAACCAUACUUCGUCCUCUUUUAAUUUUUUUUUUAAUACUCUGAAAUCGUGCACGAGAAACACUUCAAGUCUUCCCUCUCUUGUCAGUUCCUUCACCCUUCCUCUAGCAUCUCUUAGCCGGAUUUCUGGUGUAUUGCCAGAGAGGCGGGGGGAGACUCGGGCCCCGCGGACGGCCGCUGCCCCAGCCCGGCCGAGCCGAAGGGAACGGAGCCGAGCGGAGCGGGCACGGCGCCGCUCCGUGCCCCCGGGCGCUGGCGGGGCGCGGGGCGUGUGCCGGAGAUGCCCGGGCGGUAAAGCUGGAGCUCUCCCCGGACGGGAGGUGUCCGAUCAUUAGGCGUUUCUAGCAAGAAUCGGGACUGCAGGAUGAAUAAGAGAUACUUACAGAAAGCAACAAAAGGAAAACUGCUAAUAAUAAUAUUUGUUGUAACGCUGUGGGGGAAAUUAGCAUCUGGGGCAAAUCAUCAUAAAGCUCACCAUGUUAAAACUGGGACCUGUGAAGUGGUGGCACUUCACAGAUGUUGCAAUAAGAACAAGAUAGAAGAAAGAUCACAGACGGUGAAGUGCUCCUGCUUCCCUGGGCAGGUAGCGGGUACCACCCGGGCAGCUCCUUCUUGUGUUGAUGCUUCAAUCGUGGAGCAGAAAUGGUGGUGCCACAUGCAACCAUGUCUUGAAGGGGAGGAAUGUAAAGUUCUUCCAGAUCGUAAGGGGUGGAGCUGUUCCUCUGGGAAUAAAGUGAAAACAACUAGGGCAAACGUGUAAAACUCCUCAAGGCCGAAUGGAGAAGUAGAGAAAGGAGGUUUCUGCUGUGCCUGAUGACAAUAUUUGUUUUUUCCACACAAAAAAUAUUCUGGCUCCACGUUGGAGCACUAGUUGUGAUGAAUCCUAGUCUUGGUCGGAUUCUAAGGAAGGGCCAGAACGUUCGUUGAGGAAUAAAGAGUCACACCACUCCAGAAAAUGUGUUCCAGCCCUCGUUUAUUACUCACAGAGCAGCAGGUAACCUGAUAGCUAAAGACAAAUCAAGUCACUAUCAAGGCUGAUAAAAUUAAAUACAACAUGUGGGAAUUUCAUUCCUCCAGGCAAUCCUUGAAGUGAAAUUUUAUACUGCUGGAGUGUAUCCUUCAGAAUCAAUUGUUUCAAUGAGAAUCUGUCUUGUAAUCAGCAACAGCCUUGAGAUUAAAACUACUGGAAAGUCAUUUUGAACUUCUGUGUCACAAAGAUUUCAACUGAUUGAACUGUGUACACUUGUAAAAUUGCACUUGCUGAGGAAUUUGCAGCUGUAAUCAUGUGUUGAUACUCUAAAGGUGCAGAAAAGCAGCAAACUGUUGGAUUCUCCAUUGCAGACCAGUGGCUUUUCAUCUUGAUGAAGUCAACCUCCAAAAUGUAUUGGAUCCUUCCCUCUAAAAUGAUCCCUGGUCCACUUUCAGAUUGCUGGUGGUACUGCACAUUGCUUUAAUUAAAUUUCUGUUGCAGAAAUGGUCCUCUGGCAUGGCACAGUUUUAGACAUUUUUAUUUGUGUUCAAAUCUUGCAGCUCUGAAAGAUACAUAUUUCAACAUCUUGAAGUUGCUUUUGUUAUAGGAAUGGAAUUAUAUAUCCAUUGUUAAUAAUUAUUGUUGACAAGUAAUAGUUAUCUGAAUACACCAGUCAUAUUAGAUUGUAUAGUCAGGCUGACGUGUUUGCCUAAGGCUAAUCAGCCACUGCAACUUAACAGUUAAAAAAGUAGUGGUCAAAACUCAAUUACCACCUCCAUUAUAAAGCAUUUUGUACCUCUAAGAUAUACAUUUCCAUUUAGUUUGAAGGAGAUGGGUGUUCCCAAUGUGUACUUUACUUUCCUAACCUUUAAUUGAUUUAAGUUCAUGGUAAGCAGUCAAUGACGGUAUUUCAUCUUUUUUUUUGUCAGGGUAGGCAGGGAUGUAAAUGAGUUUUGCAAUUAUGAAAUUGGAUGGUAAUCACUCAGAAUUUUUGUCUUUUUAUUAAAAAAUAAAAUCUCUUGCUUGAACCUAAGUACUGAUGGAUGCUUACGUAGAUGUCUGCUCAGUCUGUUUGCUAUAAAGGAAAAAAGUCCUAGUGCCCACCCAGAUUUACACUUCAUGGGUAUUUUGCUUGCUUACAGUCAUCCCAUUCAGAUCUGAUCCUUUCCAAAAUUUCUUUUUUCUUUUUUUUUGGCAGCAAUUUUUUUGAACUUUGUGAUGUGCUGUUACAUGAAAAAAAUCCUCAAUAUUUAAAGGCCUUAAACAUCUCUGAGCUUUUUUCUAAGUUAUUACAGAAUGUAUAAUUUUAUACUCCAUUUAAUAUAUAUUGUACCAUCUGUAAUGUUGAUACAACAGAAAUUUGGCAGUUCCUUUUAGAAACACUGCAUAAAGAAGCUGACCAGAGAGGGUAAGGGAAUUCUGACUUUAUGCUUUGGUGAAUUGACAUGAAAGCCACACACACAGUGGUAGUAAAAAGUACGUAGGAGUAAGCUUAUGUGUGGUUACCAUAUUCACAAAAAAAACCAAAAACAAACCACAAACCAAACAAGCAAAAAAACCCCCAAAAGACAAAAAACCCAAAACAAGACAGAUGAGGGAAAAUAUUUUAUCAUUACAAGCCAUUGACAUGGCUAGUUUAGUUAUAUGUUAGGUUCCAUGAUAGAUGAACACCCUGGAGUGCUCUGCCUGUCACAGUAGCCCCUGUUGUUCCAAAACCAUUUCAUUACCUCUGUUGUAUUAUUGCACAGGAGAGCUUAAAUAAAAUAAAUGACUGUUGGGAAUAAAAUUGAGAAGUAUAUUCUAUCAUUCUGCUGAGAAGUAAUAAAAAAUUGUUGGCAGGAAAAGAUCUUAUUUUCUGAUUAAAAUUUAAUUAGAAUAAACUGUAGCAGCUACUAGGUAUCUCAGUAUUUUAGGAUGGAUUAGUAUUGUAUGGAUUUGUGCUAACAAGUUCAGGACAGAAGGUAGCAUCUUAAAGAGAUCGUCUGGGACAGUGCAAAAUAUAAAUGUGCUGUUUUGUAGACUAUGAAUAUGGCCUCUCUUUGGCCAAAAAUCUAUAUCAUGCUUCUAACUAAAUGUUUUCUUUGUUUCCUUGUUCUUAAACCAAUACUGAAAGUACUGUAUUAUAUAGAAGUGUAACACAUGCAUAUCAAUAAAUAAAAAUAAAUGGAUUUUCAAAUAUAUUGAAUAGAUUAUCUGCAGUAAUUAAUGUUGUGACUAUUCAUAGCAAGUGAAUAAAAUUGUAAUAUAAAAUA